CAUCGUCAUCUCCGACUCUCUUUCUCUCUCGCGAAAGGCGAUUAUCUCCGCUGACUUCUUUCUCUGGGUUGAAUCCGUUCGUCAGAGAGCUUGAACUCGUUAUCACAUCUCUCUGUCGUCGUAGUCACAGCCUCUCCGUCGUCAUCACAUCUCUCCGCUGUUGUUCCCGUUUCUCUCCGUCUCUCCUCUUUGCGAACCACCGAUUACAUCACUCUCCGCAGCUACCGAUAGGAGUUCUUCAAGCCUCUGAGUAACUUCUUAUCGCUGAUAAAUGACCAUUGGCUUAACAUUGAUCUUCUUCUACUCUUCCUACAUCUCGGUUCCCAAUUGAAGGAAUGGGCUUUACAGUUUCCAAAACGGAUUCUUGAAGAAGGAGUUGAGUGCAAGAUUGAUAAGAUUAACAACACUUGUAGACGUACGAUUCUGUAAACGGUGAAGGUGGUUCUCAAGGAUGAGUAUGAUGAAGUUUUGAAGGAUCCUGCCUUUGGUCCGAUUCUGGAAAUCGUAGACAACAAGCUCAUUUACUGAGGGAAGAUUAUUCACAGCUUCAUAUGCAAGCAGCUCAAGGUUUCUAAGCUUCAUGAGUUGUGGUUUCUGUUUGCAAAUAGACCUCUCAGGUUUUCUAUGCAAGAGUUUUAUGCUGUCACUGGAUAGAAGUUCAGAGAAUAACCGGAAAUAGACUUCAAUAACUGGAAGAGUGAUAAGGGGUUUUGGAGCACAGUGCUGAAUAAAAACAGAAAGGUCAACUUGUUGAUUAUAAGGGAUGAGCUACUUAAAGUCUGCAACCAGUGGUCGUAUGUGGACAGGGUGAGGCUAGUUUAUCUGUGUAUUAUACAUGGAUUCGUCAUUGCUAAAGAUUUGAGAGUGUUUAUUCCUCAAGAGUUCAUUCGUUUGGUGAUGGAUUUUGAGAAAAUGAGGAUGUAUCCUUGGGGUCUUCGUGCGUUUGAUGAGCUGAUUGCAUCAAUUUUCAAAGUAAGGGAAGAUUUGCAUCUGAAGAACAGUUACGUGUUGGAUGGUUUCUCAUAUGCGUUUCAGAUAUGGAUUAUAGAGGUAAUCCCGGACAUCGGGUCUAUGGUGGGUACAAAGAAGAAGAAAACCCUGACAAAAGUGAGAUGAAGAAAUAGGACAGGAAUUGGAAAAGUAUCAUACCAAGAUAUCACCAGCCUAGAAUCACACUUUGACAAGGGAAAGCUGUUCCCGUUUAUAUCAUCUACUGGAAGCUCAGCUGCGAUAGAUAAUCCUGAGUUCUUUAGGGAAGAUGAGAAGAAUGACGAAAGAGUCAGUCGCAUUGUUGCUCUCAUUGAUGCCAAACAAGACUGGAAGCAAUUCACUUGGGAAGUUGAGACUUUGCAUACAAAUAUGGACUUAUCUGAUCCAGAAGAGGAUGUUGAGGAAGCGGCUGUUGGAGAGGAACCGGCUGUUAUUGUAAAAAGGGGCAAGCUUAAGCUAAUUGAUCCUUGUGCCGAGUCUCAGAAAAAACAGCUGUUCUGUGAUCGAGCAGCUGAACAUAAUUGUGGUGUCUCAGAUGAAAUGAAGACCUUCAUUGAGGGUUUGUUCAAGGCUUCUUUCACCUCAUUUACGGAGCUGGUGCAGAAGGAUUAUGCAUUGUAAAAACAUUGAUAUGAAUUUUUAUAUACAAAAAGGGUAGUGAAUGUCCAAAAAUGACAAAAGUUGAUUUUGUUCUAAGGGGACAAUAUUAUAGUUUAGUUAUUCCU
Long non-coding RNA from Raphanus sativus (radish), 1715 nucleotides. RefSeq lists it as uncharacterized. The transcript has 3 exons. NCBI's taxonomy places the organism in Eukaryota, Viridiplantae, Streptophyta, Magnoliopsida, Brassicales, Brassicaceae. The record is from RefSeq and is a predicted model, not a curated record.